This 229-nucleotide ribosomal RNA is filed under the name uncultured bacterium. RNAcentral's name for it is "partial 16S ribosomal RNA". It matches the Rfam family "Bacterial small subunit ribosomal RNA", at positions 568 to 796 of the family's 1533-position model. The record is from RNAcentral.
UGCGCAGGCGGCCUGAUCAGUCAGUGGCGAAAUCCCGGGGCUCAACUCCGGAACUGCCAUUGAUACUGUCAGGCUUGAAUACGGUUGAGGUAGGCGGAAUGUAGCAUGUAGCGGUGAAAUGCAUAGAUAUGCUACAGAACACCGAUCGCGAAGGCAGCUUACCAAGCCGAUAUUGACGCUCAGGCACGAAAGCGUGGGGAGCGAACAGGAUUAGAUACCCUGGUAGUCC